CAACUUAGUGAGGUCCUAAGCAACUUGUCCAGACCCUGUCUACAUAAAAUAUAAGAAAGGGCUGGGAUGUGGCUCAGUGGGUUCAAUCCCCAGCACAAAAAAAAAAAAAAAAUGAUUCUGAAACUCUGUCCUUGUCUUAUAGCCACCUCGGGAGCAGUGCCGAAGUUCGGGUUUUGAGCGAGGCAGCCCAGGUUCAAACCUCGGCUCCACCACUACCGUGUGGCCUCAGGCCAACAAUGGCUCCAGGUUCUCCAUCCCAGAAUAGCACAGACCGUGUAUGUCACUGCGAGGUCCAAGGCUGAAUGAGGUGCUGUUUGUAAAGGGGCGCGGCUCAGUGUACCGUGUGCGGUGUCCCUGCCCUACUCCGCCACCUGCGCUCUCUCUGCCUCUGUCUGGGGACUGAGGACUCCUGCUGGGUCUUCCCACCUUCUCCUCUGCAGACACAUGGCUCCCUCAGUCCCCUACUCUGAGGGCUGGGCUCAGCCACCGUCUCCCAGGGCUCCCCUCCACCCGGGCUGUGGCUCUCCUUGGCCUGAGCAUUGGGGGUGACAGGUGGGGUGCUGGGGGUUCAGCUUGUCAGGCUCACUGCCAUUUCCCCCAGAGCUGGCACCCAGUAGGUGCUCAGUACCUAUGUGCUGAGUGAAUGGUCAUGGUCAAGAGGCCUGAAGCCCCGAAGCUCUCUCUCCUGGAUACACAGCUGAUUAGAGCCAGGGGACAAGUGACCCCACGGGAACAGCAAACCAAGCCAGCGGGCUUCUUCUGAGAGUGACUGAUGUGCGCCAAGGGGAAGUUCUGUUCGGCUCCAGGAGGCUGAGGUGCCCAGAUGCCAGGGCAAGUUCCAGGAGGCCCUCUGACCUGACCACCCUGAGCAAUGGGUGGCUUCCUGCCUGGGGCAUCUCCAAAGGCACCGAGUAGAGCAUGUCCCUGUCCCUGACAUCCGGAAAACACUGCCGGAGCACUGUGGCCCCCCUGCCUCCCUGCCACAGACCUGGGGAGGAGGGCUAAGGCUGAGGCGGACUGUGGCCAGGCCUUGGUGCCACCCGCCUGGGCACCUUGGAGUGAGGCCAAAAGAAAGCAGACCAGCACCAAGAAAGCAUGGACACCGCAGCCUGUGGCCCUGCCUCCCGUGCCCACCUGGACCCUGCGCGGUCAGGACCACGGUCCCUGCUUUACAAUGAACAAGGCAGGCCUCCGAGUAGGCAGGUGACUUGCUCUCGACCACACAGCCAGUGGCCCCAACUUACCACCAGGUCCUCCAGGGUCAGCGUCUGGUCCACGUCCCUCGGGAUCUCCACCUCGCCCUUGUGGGUCAACUUGGAGGCUGGAAGCCCACGAGGCUCCUUCUGUUGCUGUUCAAUGAUCUCUAGGCCCUGAAGAGGAUGAGCUCAGUCAGGGGCCUCUGGCCACCAAGGGCCCAGCCACACCUCCGCACCUCAAGGGCCCUCUCCUGUGGCUCCCCUUCCAAGCCAGGCCUCUCCCUGCCUCCACACUGGCUCCUUGGUUCCCCUCCCCUGGAAAGCCCACCACCUUCAGUCCCGCCUCUCCAGAUUCCACUCAUUCGUUCACCCUCCACGCUAAUCCUGCCUCCUCCAGGAAGGCUUCCCAGACUUCACCUUCACCCACAGUCAGUUCUGCCUCUCACUGCCCUGGGGAGGCUGUGGUGGAGAGAAAGAGCACAGGUGCCAAGUCCCUGCUGGACUGUUAAUAAACAUUCAUGAGGCAGUGUGGCCUUGGACCACCACCGAGCUGCCCUGCACCUUGGUUUACCUGUUCUCUGGGGAUUCCAUUAAGAGCACUGGAUUAAACAUCACGUGCACAGAGCCUGGCCUGGUGUGGUUGUCACUGUUGAUCAAUGUCAUCCUACCUGCAAGGUUCCUUGAAAGCCCAGAAGGCAGGGGUCCUGUCCUCCCUUGGCAGGGUGUGGGACCAUGCGGCCGCCCAGGGUCCCUGCUUGGCCUGAAGCUUUGCUGUUAUCACCUUGAAACUCUUAACAGUUUUUGAGCAAAGGGCCCCACAUCUUCAUGUUGCACUGAACCCCACAAACUAUGCAGCCAGUCCUGCCCUGGGACCCCACAAUGCCUGGACAGCUCUGCCCACAGCGGGUGGGUCCACCUAGUGGACUCCGGUUCUGAGCUCUGACCAGCCCAGGGUCUUUCGGAAGAGCAUCUCAGACCCCACCCCAUACCCUCUCCCUGGGCCACCAACAAGCGUUUGCUGAAAAUCCUCCAAAGCUGGCCAGUUCCAUAAUUUCCCCACCCCUGAAUUCCUAGGCAUGGCAAAGCCCAUGGACACAGGGUACACAGGGAUGGGACUGUGGGGACUGUGAGGUCCCUUCCCCAGACUGGGGUACCAGGAGGCCUCCAGCUUUUCCCAAGGCUUCUGAGGCUGGAAUGGGAAGAGGGACUCUUGGGAACUUUUCCCCCUGGAGGGUGAAUGACCACCCUGGACUCCAGACUGCAGACUACCACUUGGUCCUCCCUGUCCCACUGUCACAGGAGCCAGCUGCACAGAAAUCCAAGUGUGUCACCUCUCAACAGAGCCCUCUGUCCCCAGUGCCUUUCACCUCUGCCUCUUCCUGCUUACCCUGUGACUUCUCAAACGGCUUCCUGGUUCCGGUUCCCCAUCUUGUACUUCCCUGUCCUUGUCCCUGUCACCCUCUCCUAUCCCUGGCCGCCCUCUCCUGACUCGGCUCCACGGCUCACCCGUUUCUCCUCCUGGUCCCGCCAGCGGGACAGCUCCUGAGGGGCCAGCUGGAUGGAGUUCAUCCGCACCAGUUUGUGGGGGGUGACGUCCCCGUGAGCCACUUUGAGAAACAGGUCCUGCAAGGCAGGGGGCAGAGGCUGCACCAACCAUCCUGAGAGCAUCCUGCCAUCGGCACUCCGGCGGAGGCCCAGGUCAAAGCCCGCUCACCUGGUUCCUGGGGUCCCGCAGGUUGAACAGCAGGCUGCGGUACUUGGUCUUGUAGCGGCAACUGGUGUCUUGUGUCAGGUCAAAGAGGGCUGCCUCGAUGUCCCCAGCGAUGCCCUCCACCACCUCCUCACUCAGCACCAGGUCGGGACACUCCUGUAGGCUGUGGGGACAAGAGAAGGGCCCUGGGCACUGAGUCCAUGGGGUUAGCCACACACUGAGCCCCAGGGGAGACCUGUGGCGGGAAACCCAAGUGGGCCAACUCACUUCCGUCACGGGCAUCUCCCUACCUGGGCCUGGCUAUUCUUACCCAACUUCAUAACAAAUAAAAACGAACGUUCUCCUUCCACAGGAUGCUGAGGCUCAGAGGAGAUCAGGGCUGAUCAAUGGCAAAGCCAGAGUCAAAUCCAGAUUCCUCAGCCUGGGCCGUCCCUGGCCAAUGGAGCUGGGGAGGUGGGGAAGGGAGGGACCUGGCUGGUGGGGGUGAAGCAUCUGCCAAGGGGAGAGGAUAGUAGUAACCCUGAAUCUUCCAUUGACUUGCUGUGUGGCCUCUACAAAGUCCUGCCCUCUCUGGGCUUUGGCCUCACCUUCAGUAAAUGAGAGCUCUGGGCACCGAUCUCAGCUGCUCAGCACAGCCUCUCAUUGUGUCCGAAAGCAUUUGCUGUGGGUGAUGCCAACAAGGCCCAGAGCAGACACUGAGGGCUGCAGUAGCUGAAGGGCACAGUAUGACCUUGAAGGCAGAGAUGCCCAGGUUCACAUUUCGGCUCUCCGCAGGCCGGCUGGCCACGUGAGCCAGUGACCUCCCCCAGUGGGGUUAGUCACACACACGAGCCCUCACGCGGGUUCGCGGCAGCCUGCCAGCACACUGGGGAAGCAGAGGCCAGGCCUUACCGACUCCACAGUGCCUCCUGCAUGGCGCGCACUACAGUGGCCCGAACCACCAGAUCCUGGGGGGUCAUCUCCUGUCGAAGCUGAAGUCCAGCUGUGGGGGACAGAGAGCCUCCUGGGAGCCCCCAAGGGCAUGAGGCGGGGCAGGGCCCAGGAGCCCAGAUGGACAACAUCCUCCCUCAGGGACCCAGGCCCCCCUGUCCACAGCCAGGCUCUGGUGGCCAGCAGCCCCGGCCCUAGGGGACGGACUCUAGGCUGAUGGGAGGCAGGAGUCCCAGCAGGGGCUGGGGCCCUUCACCUGAGUCCUCUGCCCUUUCCUGGAGAGGUUCCCCAUCUGCAGCCUCCAUCAGGCCAACCUGUAGGGAGAGGUGAGGAGGGGACACUGCUUUCCCCAGGGCCUGCGGCCCCCCACGCUCUGCCACCCAUUCUCCACGGUGGCCGGGUGGCAGGGUGGCAGGGGCAGGCGCACUCACCCCCGAACAGUCGGCCCUGGGGAAGGGAUCCUUGAGGGGCCCAGAACAGCCGCUUGGAGGGAGGAAGAGAUCAAAGAGGCUUCCAGAGUCACGUGCUGUCCCUCCUAAAGGAGGGGACUGGACAACCUGGGGGCAGCAGAACAUGCUGGUCAGCCAGAGACAAAGGCCUGACGGGACGCCCUCUCAAACACGCUAGUCCCCCUCCUCCAACUGACCUCCCGGAUUCUGGAGGAAGAACACUCAGAGCCCAGGCAGCCAGGCAGGUGGGGCCCCUGGCUGCUGUCCUGAGAAGUCACACCAUCCCUCUGUGCCUCAGUGACACCUGCAAGUCAGGUGACGGAGCCACACCAACCACGUGCGGAGCCUGUUCUGUACCUGGUGACCAGCAGAACCCCGGGUUUGGGCCCUUUUCCUCCUUCUGGGUCUCUGGGCCGGCAAGGCCGAGCCGGCCUCCAUGAAGUCCUGGAGAGCCUCCAGCUUCAGCAGCUGCUGUCCCCCAGCCUGGACGUGGCUGAUGGCCCCCAAGAGCUGGAUCACCGCCCCAGAACCGAGCUGCGGGGAGAGGAGAACUUGAGAACCAGCUGGACGGAGGGCCCGCCUCCCCUGCAACGGCCGGCCGUCUGUCCCCCAGGAGGACAGGGGACGUGCCUAUGUCGGUCCUCACUGUUUACCCAAUGUCUGCAAAAGGCCUGGCAUUUAGCAGGAUUUAGUAAACGUUUGCCGACUGGCUGGCCCCUGUCCCAGGAGAGGAGCCUGGGCUCACUCCCACCCUCCUGAGCAAGGAGCCUUCUCACCUCCUUCUGACCAGAGGUGACCUCCUCAGGGGACACACGUUCUGUUCUCACACCACCUCCUCCUGUCAAAGCUUUGGACAUGUCCCUUUCAGAGGCCACUAACUUGUUUUUUGCUUCUCCUUGAAAUAGCCACUUGCAACCAUCUCCCCUUCUUAAGAACUGCCCACCACCCAGCUGUUGUUCCUGAGAGACUUCCCUUCAUUUCAAGAUGCAACACAGUUUUUGGUCUUCUAAUGAACGAUGGAAUCCCUCCUGCUCCUCUUUUUGCUAUGGCUGCCAGGAAGCAGCUCAGUGAUAACUUUGAGCCUAGAAGUUUGUGCCUUUCCAGAAUUGGUGGAGGGUGGCGAAUUCUAAUAUUUUAUUUCUCUUUUCCUUUGCUUUCUUUAGGCUUUUAUCCCACUUUAAGUGUGUUUUGAUUUUUUUAAAUUUAUGGCAAACCACAGGAAUUUUCUGGAAAGCAGGUUGUGCCUGAAAAAAAAAUUAAUCCUUGACUGGAUUAUCGUGGAAUGGUCAGGUUGCAAGGGAGAAACUGGAAGUCUAAGCUUCAGCAUCAUAGCCGGAGGAGGGUCACCCCUGGGGGAGGACCCACCCAGCCCGCCACACUGAAACAGGGAAGAAAAAGGUCAAUCAGAAAAGAGUAAAAAAAAAACCUACGUAAGAUACAAGCUUCACCCCAUGGGGCAUCUUCACGUCCUCCUUGGAGAGAGAGAGGAUGCAGAGAUUAGAAUCCAAAGAACCCAGUGGCGACCCCUUGGCAGGGAAUUCACUGUAAGAUGUUCUUUCCGAAAGGGUAUGCGGCGUUCACCAGGUUGACAUUUAUAACAAAAUAAAGUCGGGCACAAUCCAAUUAAAGAGGGAAGAGUGAAUACAUGGUAACAUAUUACACCCUAAAUUCUGUGUGGCCAAAGAGAUGAGGAAGUCCCAGUAAAAAUGACCUUUUACCAGGGUUUACGAAGUAGCGGGCCCUGGAGGAAGCUCAUCCCACACAGUCUUAUUAAGGUCUCUGAACAGUACGAGGCGGGGUGUACUACCUUUAUCCCACCAUUUCACAGAUGUGGAGACUGAGGCUCAGAGGGGCCCUGAAAAGUCCCAUAGCUACUAAGCUGGCGAGCUGUGUUGGAGUUUAAUUCUGAUCCGAAAGCCCCCACACUUAACUGCUGGGCUCUGUGGAGAUGCAGAAAGAUUCAUGGAAAGAUAUCAUGGUGUUAUUGGGAGAACAAGAAAAAAAAAAAACAGGUUACAGAACAAUAUUGGUUGCAUAAGCCCCU
Ictidomys tridecemlineatus (thirteen-lined ground squirrel) is the source of this 6330-nucleotide non-coding RNA. The record is from RefSeq and is a predicted model, not a curated record. Lineage: Eukaryota; Metazoa; Chordata; Mammalia; Rodentia; Sciuridae.